AGUGAACGCUGGCGGUAGGCCUAACACAUGCAAGUCGAACGGCAGCACAGUAAGAGCUUGCUCUUACGGGUGGCGAGUGGCGGACGGGUGAGGAAUACAUCGGAAUCUACUUUUUCGUGGGGGAUAACGUAGGGAAACUUACGCUAAUACCGCAUACGACCUACGGGUGAAAGCAGGGGAUCUUCGGACCUUGCGCGAUUGAAUGAGCCGAUGUCGGAUUAGCUAGUUGGCGGGGUAAAGGCCCACCAAGGCGACGAUCCGUAGCUGGUCUGAGAGGAUGAUCAGCCACACUGGAACUGAGACACGGUCCAGACUCCUACGGGAGGCAGCAGUGGGGAAUAUUGGACAAUGGGCACAAGCCUGAUCCAGCCAUACCGCGUGGGUGAAGAAGGCCUUCGGGUUGUAAAGCCCUUUUGUUGGGAAAGAAAAGCAGCAGGUUAAUACCCCGCCGUUCUGACGGUACCCAAAGAAUAAGCACCGGCUAACUUCGUG
RNAcentral lists this ribosomal RNA (492 nucleotides) under uncultured bacterium. RNAcentral's name for it is "partial 16S ribosomal RNA". It matches the Rfam family "Bacterial small subunit ribosomal RNA", at positions 29 to 507 of the family's 1533-position model. The record is from RNAcentral.